Molecule: ribosomal RNA, 253 nt
Filed under: uncultured bacterium
Lineage: Bacteria
Description: partial 16S ribosomal RNA
Rfam family: Bacterial small subunit ribosomal RNA
Source: RNAcentral
UACAGAGGGUGCGAGCGUUAAUCGGAAUUACUGGGCGUAAAGCGCGCGUAGGCGGCUUUGCAAGUCGGGUGUGAAAUCCCCAGGCUUAACCUGGGAACUGCAUUCGAGACUGCAUUGCUAGAGUAUGGGAGAGGGAAGUGGAAUUUCCGGUGUAGCGGUGAAAUGCGUAGAUAUCGGAAGGAACAUCAGUGGCGAGAGCGACUUCCUGGACCAAUACUGACGCUCAUGUGCGAAAGCGUGGGGAGCAAACAGG